UACGUAGGGUGCGAGCGUUGUCCGGAAUUAUUGGGCGUAAAGGGCUCGUAGGCGGUUUGUCACGUCGGGAGUGAAAACUCGGGGCUUAACCCCGAGCCUGCUUCCGAUACGGGCUGACUAGAGGUAUGCAGGGGAGAACGGAAUUCCUGGUGUAGCGGUGAAAUGCGCAGAUAUCAGGAAGAACACCCGUGGCGAAGGCGGCUCUCUGGGACGGUACUGACGCUGAGACGCGAAAGCGUGGGGAGCAAACAGG
RNAcentral lists this ribosomal RNA (253 nucleotides) under uncultured bacterium. RNAcentral describes it as "partial 16S ribosomal RNA". It matches the Rfam family "Bacterial small subunit ribosomal RNA", at positions 524 to 776 of the family's 1533-position model. The record is from RNAcentral.